AGUGGCGGACGGGUGAGUAACGCGUGGGUAACCGUGCCUCAUACAGGGGGAUAGCAGCUGGAAACGGCUGCUAAUACCGCAUAAGCGCACAGUACCGCAUGGUACGGUGUGAAAAACUCCGGUGGUAUGAGAUGGACCCGCGUCUGAUUAGGUAGUUGGUGGGGUAACGGCCUACCAAGCCGACGACCAGUAGCCGACCUGAGAGGGUGACCGGCCACAUUGGGACUGAGACACGGCCCAA
This 241-nucleotide ribosomal RNA is filed under the name uncultured bacterium. Its description in RNAcentral is "partial 16S ribosomal RNA". It matches the Rfam family "Bacterial small subunit ribosomal RNA", at positions 94 to 334 of the family's 1533-position model. The record is from RNAcentral.